Apis cerana (Asiatic honeybee) is the source of this 1077-nucleotide long non-coding RNA. RefSeq lists it as uncharacterized. The record is from RefSeq and is a predicted model, not a curated record. NCBI's taxonomy places the organism in Eukaryota, Metazoa, Arthropoda, Insecta, Hymenoptera, Apidae.
UUUCGACAUCCUCUUUUAUCAUUUCAUCUCAUGCGAAUCAAUAAUUAUACAGAAUGAAGCCAUUACUUUUGACAGAGAUUACAGACAAGAGACUGCUCCAUUAUUUUACUUUAUAGCCAGGAAGAAUAAUGACCCCUAAUCCGAUUUUUGUUGCCGGCAGAUAUAUCGAGAGUUGGAGCAAAGUAUGAAGGAAGAAAAAAAAAUCGAUAGAAAUAGUUCAAGUUCAAAAAUGAAUAAUUUUCUGACAAAAAUCAUAUUCAUCAUAUUCGAUGUUAUUCGAUGUAACAAGGAAACUAUUAUACCUGGCCGUAGACGCCGUAGAAUUUGCAUAGAAAAAUGUAAAAUUUCACGAUCCAGGAGCGUACGCAGUUUCUGGAAUGAAAUAUACGAAGAUGGCCGCAACGUGCACCGCUUGAAGAUUUUCCAAAGUUGCCAACAACCGUUUCACAGGUCGUCGCGAGGGCUGAUCUGGUCGAAGAAUUGAAAACUUCGUCCAAGAAAAAUCGAUCCUUUGUCCUUGAGAUAUGGGCCCAACGAAACGACUUGUACCUAUCACGUUUCAGAUAGAUAACGCAGUAGCAUACUUGCGAGUAUGUAACUAUCACCUACAUCAACCAGUAGUCCCUAAUUGGAACUUCCGGCAAGGGUAAUUUUACGAUUUACACUCCGGAGAAGAGGAUCCUCUUUUACUCGAUCAAACACAGAAAUUCUCCGUCAAUCUCGAUCGAAAAUCAACAAUUUAAAAUGAACAAUAUCAGAACGUGUGAUAAAGUGAAACUUAACAAGUGCAACAGAUAAUUUAUGGUGUAAACUUUAAGAAGAAAUGUUAUCUAUGAUUUUCGCAAAUUCAUGACUCAGGAAAUUUAUCCGCUUACUGUGUCCUUCCGUUCUUGGAAAUGGAACGGAAAUCCGUGAUUCGAGUUAGAAAACAUAAUCAAACGAUAAAAGCGCGAGAAAAAGAUGUUACUCUAUUUUUAACAAUCAAAUUGAAUUCUCUACCAUACAACUAUUAUAUAUACAUAUAUAUAAUUCUAAAAUAAUAAUGAUAAAGUAUAGUAAUAAACGGUAUAAUAUAUA